UCUUGGUCAUUUAGAGGAAGUAAAAGUCGUAACAAGGUUUCCGUAGGUGAACCUGCGGAAGGAUCAUUAAAGAAAUUUAAUAAUUUUGAAAAUGGAUUUUUUUGUUUUGGCAAGAGCAUGAGAGCUUUUACUGGGCAAGAAGACAAGAGAUGGAGAGUCCAGCCGGGCCUGCGCUUAAGUGCGCGGUCUUGCUAGGCUUGUAAGUUUCUUUCUUGCUAUUCCAAACGGUGAGAGAUUUCUGUGCUUUUGUUAUAGGACAAUUAAAACCGUUUCAAUACAACACACUGUGGAGUUUUCAUAUCUUUGCAACUUUUUCUUCGGGCAUUCGAGCAAUCGGGGCCCAGAGGUAACAAACACAAACAAUUUUAUCUAUUCAUUAAAUUUUUGUCAAAAACAAGAAUUUUCGUAACUGGAAAUUUUAAAAUAUUAAAAACUUUCAACAACGGAUCUCUUGGUUCUCGCAUCGAUGAAGAACGCAGCGAAAUGCGAUACGUAAUGUGAAUUGCAGAAUUCCGUGAAUCAUCGAAUCUUUGAACGCACAUUGCGCCCCUUGGUAUUCCAGGGGGCAUGCCUGUUUGAGCGUCAUUUCCUUCUCAAACAUUCUGUUUGGUAGUGAGUGAUACUCUUUGGAGUUAACUUGAAAUUGCUGGCCUUUUCAUUGGAUGUUUUUUUUCCAAAGAGAGGUUUCUCUGCGUGCUUGAGGUAUAAUGCAAGUACGGUCGUUUUAGGUUUUACCAACUGCGGCUAAUCUUUUUUCAUACUGAGCGUAUUGGAACGUUAUCGAUAAGAAGAGAGCGUCUAGGCGAACAAUGUUCUUAAAGUUUGACCUCAAAUCAGGUAGGAGUACCCGCCGAACUUAAGCAUAUCAAUAAGCGGAG
This 878-nucleotide ribosomal RNA is filed under the name uncultured fungus. Its description in RNAcentral is "eukaryotic LSU rRNA". The stretch from base 432 to 585 matches the Rfam family "5.8S ribosomal RNA". Lineage: Eukaryota; Fungi. The record is from RNAcentral.